RNAcentral lists this ribosomal RNA (409 nucleotides) under uncultured bacterium. RNAcentral's name for it is "bacterial SSU rRNA". It matches the Rfam family "Bacterial small subunit ribosomal RNA", at positions 365 to 769 of the family's 1533-position model. The record is from RNAcentral.
CGGAAUGGGCGAAAGCCUGAUCAGCCUGCCGCGUGUGUGAAGAAGGCCUUUUGGUUGUAAAGCACUUUAAGCGAGGAGGAGGCUACUUGGAUUAAUACUCUAGGAUAGUGGACGUUACUCGCAGAAUAAGCACCGGCUAACUCUGUGCCAGCAGCCGCGGUAAUACAGAGGGUGCGAGCGUUAAUCGGAUUUACUGGGCGUAAAGCGUGCGUAGGCGGCUUUUUAAGUCGGAUGUGAAAUCCCUGAGCUUAACUUAGGAAUUGCAUUCGAUACUGGGAAGCUAGAGUAUGGGAGAGGAUGGUAGAAUUCCAGGUGUAGCGGUGAAAUGCGUAGAGAUCUGGAGGAAUACCGAUGGCGAAGGCAGCCAUCUGGCCUAAUACUGACGCUGAGGUACGAAAGCAUGGGGAGC